Molecule: small nucleolar RNA, 106 nt
Organism: Malania oleifera
Lineage: Eukaryota; Viridiplantae; Streptophyta; Magnoliopsida; Santalales; Ximeniaceae
Source: RefSeq, a predicted model, not a curated record
ACCUGAUGAUGUGGGCAUUUACAUAAAAGGUCCCUAAAGCGCUCCUAGGUCUCAAAAUAUUGCUCGCCAUCUAUUUGUGAGAAACUAGUGACGACCUUCUUGAGCU